GAGACACAGAGACAGACGCACCCGUUCUCUCUCGUCCUCUCUUCACGCACGCGCGCGCGCGCACACACACAUGCUCACGCACGCAGACGGCAACUUUCCUCUAGUGGACUGACACCACACACUCGCCAGGAUAGACACACUCCCCUUACUACAGUGGAGAAGAGGAUAACGAUUGACAGCUCUGAAAAAAAAGAAAUACAGAAAAAGAAAAAGGUUCCCAGGUGAAGAGGAGGAACGUGCUGACAUUUUGCCCUGUCAGAAGCAAAAAAGCUUGUUCCCCUCUUUGUUUUCCUGCCUAACCAUGUCAGUAGUGAGAUUGCAUCAUCUCGUAAAUCUGUCGUGGUGACACAUGAAACUUACAUCACACCACUUUGACGAUGAUGGUUUUGACAGUGAGCAUUCAAGAUUAAAUCAGUCAAUGUGAGUCCCAUGUGGUAAAAAAUAAUGUAAGUGUGAAUAUACACCUUCAGGUACUUGAUGAGAUGAUGAAUAUGACAUUUUUUGGCUCUCAAGAAAAAAAAUAUUUGAAAAAAAAAAAGUAAUAAGCGAUCCCAGUAGCUCUACUCUUUGAAAAGCUCUGGUCUGCCAGUAUGGUGGUCUCUCCUUCUCUGUCAGUAGCAUGUCUUCAGCUGUAUCUGGUUGCUGUGGUGACAUGUGUGUGUCAGCGGUAGGAUGUGUGAUGUGCUUGUGUGUGCGUGCGCAUGGAGCGGCGGGUGUUGAAAGGACUCUGUAGAGGCAGAGUUCCCCUGUCCAGAAAUUCCAGCAACACAUACAUGUCAGUGAUCAGAUACAGAAACUGUAGGUAUGCAGACACUGCACACCUGCAUGUAUGUACACACAUAUAUACAAGAAAUACACAGACAGCACGGACACACACGUCGACAGAUAUCCAG
Long non-coding RNA from Astatotilapia calliptera (eastern happy), 893 nucleotides. The record is from Ensembl. Lineage: Eukaryota; Metazoa; Chordata; Actinopteri; Cichliformes; Cichlidae.